RNAcentral lists this ribosomal RNA (425 nucleotides) under uncultured bacterium. RNAcentral describes it as "partial 16S ribosomal RNA". It matches the Rfam family "Bacterial small subunit ribosomal RNA", at positions 354 to 796 of the family's 1533-position model. The record is from RNAcentral.
GUGGGGAAUAUUGGACAAUGGGCGCAAGCCUGAUCCAGCAAUGCCGCGUGGGUGAAGAAGGUCUUCGGAUCGUAAAGCCCUUUCGACAGGGACGAUGAUGACGGUACCUGUAGAAGAAGCCCCGGCUAACUUCGUGCCAGCAGCCGCGGUAAUACGAAGGGGGCUAGCGUUACUCGGAAUUACUGGGCGUAAAGGGCGCGUAGGCGGCUCUGUUAGUCAGGCGUGAAAUUCCUGGGCUUAACCUGGGGACUGCGCUUGAUACUGCAGGGCUUGAGGCCGAGAGAGGGUGGUGGAAUUCCCAGUGUAGAGGUGAAAUUCGUAGAUAUUGGGAAGAACACCGGUGGCGAAGGCGACCACCUGGCUCGGUUCUGACGCUGAGGCGCGACAGCGUGGGGAUCAAACAGGAUUAGAUACCCGGGUAGUCC